Molecule: long non-coding RNA, 1492 nt
Filed under: Olea europaea subsp. europaea
Lineage: Eukaryota; Viridiplantae; Streptophyta; Magnoliopsida; Lamiales; Oleaceae
Source: RNAcentral
AUUUUUUUGUCCACCAUUCAUCACAUGCUAUAAUCCGACCAAUUGAAAGGUUGUAUUCGACCCUGUUGCAAGCCUGCAGUUUGAAGAGACGUUUAUGCUCUCAAAGUAUUGCAUCCUAGUGGUUGUGAAUUGUUGUUUUCUUUAAUUGUGGCCAAAGAUAGAGUUAAGUAGUGGCAAUCACACGGUUCCAGCCGUGUUUUGUGAAAUGGCUCCCAUGUCGAUGAUCUUUGGCAAUACAAGUUUAUUGGUCACAAGUUAUUUCUCGAUUACAAUUUAUCAAAUCAAUUACUCAUGACUUAUUUUUGGGCACAAAUUACAAUUUUUUUAGAUCACUACUCAUUUCAAGGUCAUAAAUUAUGAAAUUAACUGUCACAACUUAUUUUUCAAUGACAACUGCUUCUUUACGUCUUAAAUCAAGAAAAAAAGGGACAUACAUUUACCCAAUGUUUUUCACAUUCAAGCCAUUGAAAGAGUCGGAACUAUGUGAUAAAAAACUAGUAAUCAAGAAUUCAAGAGAAUUGGAUUCUAAAAAGUCUUCAGUUUCAAAUACUAAUGAUCCCACAUUUGCACCACUUACUCAAGAUCCCUCGUCCGAUCCCUCGUCUAAUAUACCGACAUUAGGCAAUUUCUUGCCACUACCGUAGAUUCUGCCCUAACUCACUAACCUACAAUUUGCCACAAUUGUGCCCAGAAAACAAACAAUACCCAAGGACUCUACAAUGGAUUCUGAAUUAGUAGAUAAAAAAGUGACUGAUUCAUUUUUCUUCCCACCAAAUCCGCUUAAUCCACCAUCUAUACUGCCUCCCAACCCCUUGCUACUUGCAACUACUAUCUAUACUUCCUCCAACCCCUUAUUGCCAUCGCCAUCAAUAAUUCCUCCGACGCAUUUUGGCCUCCAUCAUCCAUACUUCCUCCAAUUUUCCCUACGCCACCUCCUUCAAUAUUUCCUCCAAUUCUCCCUACACCUUUGCACCAUCUUUGAACGUCCUACCAUUAAUAUCAAGUUUAACUCCAUCUCCACCACUACCAUUACCAUAAUUUCCAUUUGUUCCCCUUGAUUCAUUUCUUUUCUAACCCAUACCUAACUCCCACAAUAUUUCCUUCAAUGUUACAAUAUUAGCAGAUGAGAGGUUAUGUACCGUUCUCCAAGGUAGGGUAGGGAUAUGAGAGAGAUUGCUACUUCUCAGCCCAAUAGUGCGGGUAGAUUUUCUCCAUCUUAUGGCAGCAUUGCCUCGAGGUCUUGAGAAUUGGGGAGUCAGAGAAAUGGCUAUUGGUGAUGGCCACCACUGCAUCCCAAUCCAUCGUGCACAUGUAUCCUCUCUAUAAAGGAUACCACCUUUCGUGAUAAGCAUCAAUCAAAGUCAGUAUCUUCUCUUAGGUCCAGCAUGGCAGAGUAAAUCUCUAGGAGUUUUUACCGUCAUUUCAGUGGCACCACGUCCCUCGGACAGUGCCGCUAUUAUUGCCAGAGAAGAGAUUUGGGCACUAUGUAUGG